This 463-nucleotide ribosomal RNA is filed under the name uncultured bacterium. Its description in RNAcentral is "bacterial SSU rRNA". It matches the Rfam family "Bacterial small subunit ribosomal RNA", at positions 29 to 506 of the family's 1533-position model. The record is from RNAcentral.
ACGAACGCUAGCGGCAUGCCUCAAACAUGCAAGUCGAACGAGAAUAAGACUUCGGUCUUUAGUAGAGUGGCGCACGGGUGAGUAACACGUAGUUAACGUACCCUAUCGCUGGGGAUAACUCCGGGAAACCGGAGCUAAUACCGAAUAAGCUGCACUGGUCUGCGGACCUAUUCAGCAAAGCCGUAAGGCGCGAUAGGAUCGGGCUGCGUCCGAUUAGCUAGUUGGUGGGGUAAUGGCCUACCAAGGCGACGAUCGGUAGCUGGUCUGAGAGGAUGAUCAGCCACACUGGAACUGAAACACGGUCCAGACUCCCACGGGAGGCAGCAGUUGGGAAUAUUGCACAAUGGGGGAAACCCUGAUGCAGCAAUGCCGCGUGAGGGAUGAAGGCUUUCGGGUUGUAAACCUCUUUUAGCAAGGAAAAAGAUCUGAUUGUACUUGCAGAAAAAGCACCGGCUAACUCCGU